This 477-nucleotide ribosomal RNA is filed under the name Bacillus cereus. RNAcentral's name for it is "bacterial SSU rRNA". It matches the Rfam family "Bacterial small subunit ribosomal RNA", at positions 1 to 465 of the family's 1533-position model. Lineage: Bacteria; Bacillati; Bacillota; Bacilli; Caryophanales; Bacillaceae. The record is from RNAcentral.
UUUAUUGGAGAGUUUGAUCCUGGCUCAGGAUGAACGCUGGCGGCGUGCCUAAUACAUGCAAGUCGAGCGAAUGGAUUAAGAGCUUGCUCUUAUGAAGUUAGCGGCGGACGGGUGAGUAACACGUGGGUAACCUGCCCAUAAGACUGGGAUAACUCCGGGAAACCGGGGCUAAUACCGGAUAAYAUUUUGAACCGCAUGGUUCGAAAUUGAAAGGCGGCUUCGGCUGUCACUUAUGGAUGGACCCGCGUCGCAUUAGCUAGUUGGUGAGGUAACGGCUCACCAAGGCAACGAUGCGUAGCCGACCUGAGAGGGUGAUCGGCCACACUGGGACUGAGACACGGCCCAGACUCCUACGGGAGGCAGCAGUAGGGAAUCUUCCGCAAUGGACGAAAGUCUGACGGAGCAACGCCGCGUGAGUGAUGAAGGCUUUCGGGUCGUAAAACUCUGUUGUUAGGGAAGAACAAGUGCUAGUUGAAU